RNA transcript from Hyposmocoma kahamanoa, 4829 nucleotides. It is a transcript of the gene named protein DEK, with no coding region annotated. The transcript is spliced from 17 exons. The record is from RefSeq and is a predicted model, not a curated record. NCBI's taxonomy places the organism in Eukaryota, Metazoa, Arthropoda, Insecta, Lepidoptera, Cosmopterigidae.
GGUGUUUGAAGACGCUUUGGAAUUCGCUUUCAAUUUCUUCAUAGGAAAAAUGUCGGGUGAUACCGAUAAAGCAAAAAUCAGUGACAAUCAGGAUGAAGAUAAGAAAUCUGGAGCAGGUGACGGCCAGACGACAGAGGAUGAAUCCUCACAAGAUUCCAAGGGUGAGUCCCAGGCCACCACUGCGUCAGAUCCCCAGGCGUCUACAGCCCCUGAGGUCCCAGAAGCUCAAGGAGACGCCAAGUCGACAACGGCCAACGGGAAAGAUGACGACGCGGGCGGCGACGACUCCAAGGAUGACAAGGAUGACGCCAAAGCUGAUGAUGUGAAAAAGGAGGAGAACGGUGAGACUCACGACGAUGACGAAAAAGAAGAUGUGAAGGACAACGACAAGGGUGCCAAAAAGACCGCCGCCAAGAAGAAGCCCAAGAAAGAGGAUACCGAGGAGGAGGAGGAAGAUGAGGAAGAAGAGGAGGACGAGGACGAGGAGGGUGACGAUGGGGAGGAGGAGGACGAGAAGGAAGUGAAAAAACCUAAAGAAAAAGUAAAGAAGGCAGCAAAGAAAGCUAAAGAUGGCGAGGAGGACGAUGACGAGGAAGACGAGGGCGGCGAAGAGGAGGAGGAAGAAGAGGAAGAGGAGGAGGCGCCCAAACCUAAGCCCAAGAAGGAGCCAACAGAGCCGCCGGUGCCGCUGCCUGCCGGCAAGGGCAUCCCGCUGGGGCAUAUCAAUAACGUCGAGAUUUCGCUCUCGCGCUUUAAGACGCAAGACCAGAAGCUGUUGCAUCAGUAUCUUUACGGGCAACUGUGCCUCGACCGGAACGUAAAGCGCAACGUGAAGAAGUUCCGCGGCUACGAGUGGGCCAUCGGGUCGGCCGAGUACAAAACCAAACUCGACGAAACCACCAAGAUGGAGCCUAAACAACUGCGGACAAUGUGCGAGAUGCUCGAUCUCGACAAGAAAGGGUCCCCCAGCGACCUGGCGGCGCGCAUCGUGGGCUUCCUGCAGCAGCCGACGGCCAACUCGCCGCAUGCGCGUGGAUCGGCGCGGGCGCCGCCCCCCGCCGCGCCCGCCAACGCGCCUGGCGGCCGGCCCCGCCGCUCGGCCGCCGUCAAGGUGCACAACCGCGGCUAUUCUGACGAAGAAUAUGAAACAGACCCGGAGACAAAGAUCAAGGGUCCCAAACCAGCUAAGGAUGGCUCGGAAGAUUCAGAUGGUUCGUUCAACCCGAGCGCUUCAGAAGAGGCAGAUUCGGACUUCGAUCCCGAGGCGGGCGAAGGCGUUAGCGCCGGCCCGCGCAAGCGCAAGAGCACCGGACGGCGUCGCUCCAACAACAAGCCCGGCAAGAAGGGGCGCAAACCCAAGGGCAAGAAAGGGAAGGGAGCGGUGAAGCCGACACGCGGGAGACGCGCGCGCUCUGACAGCGAGGAAGAGAGCGAGAAGUCCGACAGUGAGAGCGACAACGAGUCCGCUAGCGAGGGAGAAGAGUCCGACGAGCCAAAAUCGAAGCGCGGCAGGCCAAUCGCCGUGGCUAAAGGCCGCAAGGGCGCUGUCGCAAAGCCCAACGCCAAGGCCCCCGCCAAGCGGAAAGCACCCACGCCCCCAGCAGCAAAGAAGAAGGGCAAGCCAGGGCGACCUGCUGCCGCUAAGAAGGGAAAGAAGGCGUCAUCUGAAGAGGAGUCGGGAGAGGGCAGCGAAGAAGAGGAGGAGGAGGAGGGUAGUGAGGAGGAGGAGGAGGAAAGCGGAGAAGAAUCCGACGCCCCCACUGACAAGAAAGCCAAACGGCCGCCUACUGACGAGGAGAUCAAGAAGUACGUGAAGCAGAUUCUGGAGGGCGCGAAUCUGGAGCAGAUCACGAUGAAGACAGUGUGUAAACAGGUGUACAGUCACUAUCCUGACUUUGACCUGGCACACAAGAAGGACUUCAUCAAGGCCACAGUCAAGUCGUGUAUUUAAGAUGUUAGGAGUUAAGGGCGGCGUGUAGAUGUCUACAUAGUAUACCUAUAGUUUUUAAAAGGACAUAGUUUUAUAUAUUAUUAUAAUAAUAAUAUAUUAUCGAUUAUAAUAUCUGACAAGUCGACUGGACACUCCCGCUUUUCUUUACAAGCUCAUAUCAUCGUGAGCAGUGACCACUCGGCCGCAAAACAUACAUAGUCAAGUAAGCUACACCACUUAACAUAGACUAAUGUCCGCCCGCGACUCGCUCUGCAAUCUGUUGCACAUUACUUCACGUUUUCAUCACACAUGUAGAAUCACUUGGGUCAGUAAUAUAUAACCAUAUAGACCGCAGAUAUAAAAAUGAAAGUAACUUACAAUUUUGACGGAGGAGAGUUAGUUACAUUUCAGAAUUUUCAUCGUGAUUUAAAUCACGAUAAUUAUAUUAGAUAUAUAAUUAGUUUUCUUUAAAAAAAUUAUAUAUGGGACACAUACACGUUAUCUUUUUUUCUACAUAGGGAGGCAGAAGCUACAUACAUCAGCCCACUUCCAUUACAAUCUAAUAUAAUUUUAUUAUUUUUCGCCUGUAUAAGAGUGGAUAUAACUUACAUUUUUGAAUGUGUAUUUAUUUGACAGAUCUACAGAAAUGGCAUCCCUUUGAAUUAGUUUAAAAUAAACUCUAUUUGUAGUAGUGAUAAAUUAGGUAAUAAAACGGGAGUCACUGAUUUAAAUAAAAAUACUUACUAGAGGAAAACAACUAAAGAAAUAAUAAGUAACACUGAAUGCAGGUAACAGUGAUCCAAUUCAAAUUAUUUAAUUACCUGCCUUAAAAAUAAAUCAUAUAAUUCAAAUUGAAUUUACUACACUACAUAAUAGGUGUUACAGCGUCGUAGAAAUUUAUGUUUAAAAAAACAGACAUAACUUAGACUUAAUUCCAUUCCAAGCAUAAGUACUAAUUUACUUGCCCACACUAGUGUUAAAUGAUUAAUAAUUAAAAUUCUUUAACUCAGCAAGAAUGCUAUAAAUUUCUACGAUUUUAUUACAAUUUAGGCCUAGCUUUCGGAGUCCAAGCGAACAUUAUCAAUUUUUUUCGUACAUGCAGUCCCUGCACCAAUAAUUUGCUGACGUAAAUUUAAAUGAUCGCAAGAAUUUGCUACACCGUUUUUAGAUAUAACUAUGGCUACACUGUGGUAUCAUAAUGGUCAUAUUCUGGCAAUACGAACUCCAAUUUCAGACUUGUACUGUGCAACAGAUUAUAUAAUAAAAUACACUCAGUAUAUUCUUUACAAUUUUUAUUUUGUUACGAAUUAAGUUGUUUGUUCUGAGUCGCGACGGUAUGUGUAAUUUUAUGUUAUAGGAAUAAUUCCCUUUAGAUUAAGGAUAAUACAAGUAAACUGCUGUAGAAUUUUUAAUGAUGUUUUAUUUCAAUGUGCUUUUUAUGUACCUACGGACAAGGAUCUUAAUAAAAAAAUGAAAUCUCUUAGAGUAAAGCCUAAUUGCAUAUAUACAGAAUUUCUUAGAAGACCUGAGACGAGUAUGUGGCUGAAUUACGCAAGUACUAUUUAGAGGUAACACUAAAGAGCAAAAGUGCGUAGGCUCAACUAUUAGGGGCCUAAACAUCUAAGGGUUCCACUACACACGUCGAUGUGGAAUCGGAUUGAGCCGGUCAAAAAAUCUUUAUGAUAAAAAAAUGGUUUCAACGUCGGUUGUUGACGUGACGCAUCGUUGGUGCUGUUGAUGUCUUCUGUAUGCACAUUUAAGCUUUUUUUUUUACCGAUUAUGCCGAUUCCGCGGCGACUAAUUUGGUGGAACUUUAACUCGAAACUCAGCCUGGCGUCCAGAGUGAAGUGGCAAAAACUUUGAAACUUUCUGAAACCCAUUAUUGGUUUUCAAAAGUGUAUAUACUGUAUGUUAGGCUGACCUUCAAGUUAGACGAUGAGUGCAAGGAUAUGAUGCUUGCAAUAUAUUGGUGUAAUUCCCGUUAGAUUUGCCCCUAAAGAGUAUUUAAUUAAUUCUUUGUAGCCUUAGAAAUAAUCUGUCAGACACUCGUCCUGUACGUAUUUUCACUAGCAACUACGUACGUGGCAUUUAGUACAAUAUGAAUGAAACGCCUUCCUGGUUAUUGUUAAGGGAGUCAACACAUUUCUUGACGCGAAUUCGAUUUAAGCCGGUAAGAAGAAGCUUUAUUUUCAUGUAGUAAGAACGAAAAAGUCGUUCGCACGUCUUUUACGCUCUAAUUGCAUCCGCAUAAAAAAAUUCCAGACCGCCUCAAGCCGAUUCCGCAACGAUAAGUGUGCUGACUACUUAAUGUGAACAAAAAUUUGGUGUUGGAAAUUCUGCAAAUAUGCUUCUUGGCUGAACUUUGCGAGCUUUGACUGCCAACUCACUUCCUACUUAAUAACUAUGACUACAGAGUCUUAAGACCUAUACAGACCGGUUUACAUAUAAAAUUGUAAGUAUGUUAAAUACGCGAGGUCAAAUUUUUCUAUAGACCGCGUCUGACCCUAGCUGUGAGGUUUAACUAGUAAACCAAAAACCUAGCUAAUUGUUAAUAGAAAAUUGGCAGAAUAGCUUCUACAAACAAGAUCCUUGUCCCCUAUACAUUUGGAAUUAUAAGUAUAAUAUAAUUUUUGUUGAUAUUUUUGAAAUUAAUAUUCAGAUUAAAUGACGUGCUCUUUAUAACAAUGGGGGUUAACGUAAUGUCAAAAGUCAUUCAAAUCCUGCCAUUAAGUGCUAAAUAACAUCAUAAGGUGUGUCGAUUCUGAAAUUGUCAUUUUAAAGGUAACUUCUGCCUUGAUUUGUGGUACCAACUUAUCUAUGGUAAACCACAUGCCCGCAUACAACCACAUAUAAAAUGAUAGAGUUAUUUUAGUCCUCUGCUUCAUUACCUGUAUCACUG